GCUCGGUAGCUUAGCUGGUAAAGCGUUCGUCUAGCAUACAAGAGUCCUGGGUUCAAAUCUCAGCUCAGAACG
RNAcentral lists this transfer RNA (72 nucleotides) under Aedes aegypti (yellow fever mosquito). Its description in RNAcentral is "partial tRNA-OTHER". The stretch from base 6 to 64 matches the Rfam family "tRNA", at positions 7 to 64 of the family's 71-position model. From Rfam's summary of the family: Transfer RNA (tRNA) molecules are approximately 80 nucleotides in length. Their secondary structure includes four short double-helical elements and three loops (D, anti-codon, and T loops). Lineage: Eukaryota; Metazoa; Arthropoda; Insecta; Diptera; Culicidae. The record is from RNAcentral.